This 404-nucleotide long non-coding RNA is filed under the name Androctonus crassicauda. The record is from RNAcentral. Lineage: Eukaryota; Metazoa; Arthropoda; Arachnida; Scorpiones; Buthidae.
AUUCAGUUUACUCUUAAAGAUUUUUCUAGUCCUCUGGAUGUAUUUUUUACUGACCACAGUUUUCACAUGCCCAUGUUUGAUGUUGUCCAUUUGCAAGAUGCCAAGGUAUUUAUAGGCUUCAUGCUGGUGGCACUUGAUAGCUUGUCCAUUAGGCAUUUCAAUGCCUUUGCUUUCAGUGAUCUUUCCCUUCUUCAGUGCCACUCUGGAAUAUUUGUCCAGACCAAAUUCCAUGUUGAUGUCAUUGCUGAAUAUUUGGACUGUAUUGGUCAAAAUAUGGAUUUCAUUAUCUGAUUUUCCAUAAAGCUUCAGGUCAUCCAUGUACAGGAGAUGAGAAAUUUUUUGUGAGUUCUUGGCUGUUUGGUAUCCAAGAUUUGUUGUCUGUAGAAUGAGUGACAGAGGAAUCA